This 514-nucleotide ribosomal RNA is filed under the name uncultured bacterium. RNAcentral's name for it is "partial 16S ribosomal RNA". It matches the Rfam family "Bacterial small subunit ribosomal RNA", at positions 28 to 523 of the family's 1533-position model. The record is from RNAcentral.
GAUGAACGCUGGCGGCGUGCCUAAUACAUGCAGGUCGAGCGAACAGAUGAGAAGCUUGCUUCUCUGAUGUUAGCGGCGGACGGGUGAGUAACACGUGGGUAACCUACCUAUAAGACUGGGAUAACUCCGGGAAACCGGGGCUAAUACCGGAUAAUAUUUUGAACCGCAUGGUUCAAUAGUGAAAGACGGUUUCGGCUGUCACUUAUAGAUGGACCCGCGCCGUAGUAGCUAGUUGGUGAGGUAACGGCUCACAAAGGCGACGAGACGUAGCCGAUCUGAGAGGGUGAUCGGCCACACUGGAACUGAGACACGGUCCAGACACCGACGGGGGGCAGCAGUAGGGAAUCUUCCGCAAUGGGCGAAAGCCUGACGGAGCAACGCCGCGUGAGUGAUGAAGGUCUUCUGAUCGUAAAACUCUGUUGUUAGGGAAGAACAAAUUUGUUAGUAACUGAACAAGUCAUGACGGUACCUAACCAGAAAGCCACGGCUAACUACGUGCCAGCAGCCGCAGUAA